CUACGGGGGGCAGCAGUCGCGAAACCUUCGCAAUGCGCGCAAGCGUGACGAGGGAACCCCAAGUGCGCAUGUACAACAUGUGCUUUUAUCAAGCCUAAAAAGCUUGAGGAAUAAGGGCUGGGUAAGACUGGUGCCAGCCUCCGCGGUAACACCAGCAGCUCAAGUGGUGAUCGCGUUUACUGGGUUUAAAGCGUGCGUAGUCGGUUUGACAAGUUUUCUGUGAAAUCCUGGCGCUCAACGUCAGGGAUGGCAGAAAAUACUAUCAGGCUAGAGACCGGGGUAGGAGUGAGGUAUUCUGGGGGUAGCGGUGAAAUGCUAUAAUCCCUGGAAGACCACCAGUAGCGAAAGCAUCACUCUGGAACGGGUCUGACGAUGAGGUACGAGAGCUAGGGGAGCGAACAGGAUUAGAUACCCCAGUAGUC
This 422-nucleotide ribosomal RNA is filed under the name uncultured archaeon. RNAcentral's name for it is "partial 16S ribosomal RNA". It matches the Rfam family "Archaeal small subunit ribosomal RNA", at positions 323 to 746 of the family's 1478-position model. The record is from RNAcentral.